RNAcentral lists this ribosomal RNA (472 nucleotides) under Stenomorpha parallela. RNAcentral's name for it is "eukaryotic LSU rRNA". Lineage: Eukaryota; Metazoa; Arthropoda; Insecta; Coleoptera; Tenebrionidae. The record is from RNAcentral.
AGAGUACGUGAAACCGUUCAGGGGUAAACCUGAGAAACCCGAAAGGUCGAAAGGGGAGAUUCAGCGUGUCUCGAUUGCGGCGCUGGAUUGUCGUGCGACGGAAGACGUACGCGUCAUCCGCACCUUCAGUCCUCCGAACCGUAGUCGAACGCGUGCACUUCUCCCCCUGUAGGACGUCGCGAUCCGUUGGGUGCCGGUCUAAGGCCCGCAGUGGAGUCCGUCCGGACGGUCCGCCGUUCCGGACGAACCUGCGGUGUUUCCCGGUCGGCUCGCUCGACGGUAUACAGAUGGCGCGGGGCCGCUACACAUUAGUUAGCGUCCGACCGGCGGCAAGCGCGCUCGUCGCGACGGUGAUCGGACCUGGUGCCGGUCCUGUCCCCGAGUGGCUGUUCGCUGCCGUGUUCUCGGACAGACCUCGUCGAAACGCCGAUCUGCGACGCUAUAGCUUUGGGUACUUUCAGGACCCGUCUUG